ACGGACUCUAAAUUUGAAAUUUUUUCAAAGCGUACGCCUGAUGAAGCUGACAUACAAAUUUUUUUCGUGACUCGUCGUAAGACUGGAAUCAAAAAAAUUUAGUAUGCCAGCUAGGCAUCAGGCCUUAAGCAAGAGUUAGUGGCGGACGGGUGAGUAACACGUUAAUACCUGCCCUUUAGUGGGGAAUAACUCGGCGAAAGUCGAGCUAAUACCGCAUGUGAUCCUUCGGGAUUAAAGACUUCGGUCGCUAAAGGAGGGGUUUGCGUCUGAUUAGCUAGUUGGUAAGGUAAUGGCUUACCAAGGCGAUGAUCAGUAGCUGGUUCGAGAGGAUGACCAGCCACACUGGGACUGAGAUACGGCCCAGACUCCUACGGGAGGCAGCAGUAAGGAAUCUUCCGCAAUGGACGAAAGUCUGACGGAGCAACACCGCGUGCAGGAUGACGGCCUUCGGGUUGUAAACUGCUUUUAUUUGGGAAGAUUGUGACGGUACCAAAUGAAUAAGGACCGGCUAACUACGUGCCAGCAGCCGCGGUAAUACGUAGGGUCCAAGCGUUAUCCGGAAUCACUGGGCGUAAGCGUGCGUAGGUGGAUUGUUCAAGUGCGGUGCGAAAUCCUGUGGUCAAACCAUAUGGACUGUAUCGCAUACUGGCAACCUAGAGGACCUGAGGAGGGCAC
Molecule: ribosomal RNA, 675 nt
Filed under: uncultured bacterium
Lineage: Bacteria
Description: bacterial SSU rRNA
Rfam family: Bacterial small subunit ribosomal RNA (bases 87-675)
Source: RNAcentral